Molecule: ribosomal RNA, 498 nt
Filed under: Fusarium sp. 41BDA
Lineage: Eukaryota; Fungi; Ascomycota; Sordariomycetes; Hypocreales; Nectriaceae
Description: eukaryotic LSU rRNA
Rfam family: 5.8S ribosomal RNA (bases 121-274)
Source: RNAcentral
AUACCUAAUACGUUGCCUCGGCGGGAACAGACGGCCCCGUAACACGGGCCGCCCCCGCCAGAGGACCCCCUAACUCUGUUUCUAUUAUGUUUUUUCUGAGUAAACAAGCAAAUAAAUCAAAACUUUCAACAACGGAUCUCUUGGCUCUGGCAUCGAUGAAGAACGCAGCGAAAUGCGAUAAGUAAUGUGAAUUGCAGAAUUCAGUGAAUCAUCGAAUCUUUGAACGCACAUUGCGCCCGCCAGUAUUCUGGCGGGCAUGCCUGUUCGAGCGUCAUUACAACCCUCAGGCCCCCGGGCCUGGCGUUGGGGAUCGGCGGAAGCCCCCUGUGGGCGCAACGCCGUCCCCCAAAUACAGUGGCGGUCCCGCCGCAGCUUCCAUUGCGUAGUAGCUAACACCUCGCAACUGGAGAGCGGCGCGGCCACGCCGUAAAACACCCAACUUCUGAAUGUUGACCUCGAAUCAGGUAGGAAUACCCGCUGAACUUAAACAAUCAUAAG